This 31-nucleotide non-coding RNA is filed under the name Mus musculus (house mouse). Lineage: Eukaryota; Metazoa; Chordata; Mammalia; Rodentia; Muridae. The record is from RNAcentral. RNAcentral also lists the same sequence under 1 other name.
UGACAGAUGUGAAGAACAGGUUAGGAGAUGU